Molecule: ribosomal RNA, 245 nt
Filed under: uncultured Oscillospiraceae bacterium
Lineage: Bacteria; Bacillati; Bacillota; Clostridia; Eubacteriales; Oscillospiraceae
Description: partial 16S ribosomal RNA
Rfam family: Bacterial small subunit ribosomal RNA
Source: RNAcentral
UACGUAGGUGGCAAGCGUUGUCCGGAAUUACUGGGUGUAAAGGGAGCGUAGGCGGGGAGACAAGUUGAAUGUUUAAACUAUCGGCUCAACCGAUAAUCGCGUUCAAAACUGUCGAUCUUGAGUGAAGUAGAGGCAAGCGGAAUUCCUAGUGUAGCGGUGAAAUGCGUAGAUAUUAGGAGGAACACCAGUGGCGAAGGCGGCUUGCUGGGCUUUAACUGACGCUGAGGCUCGAAAGCGUGGGUAGC